GUGGGGAAUAUUGCACAAUGGGCGAAAGCCUGAUGCAGCAACGCCGCGUGAGGGACGACGGCCUUCGGGUUGUAAACCUCUUUUAGUAGGGAAGAAGCGAAAGUGACGGUACCUGCAGAAAAAGCACCGGCUAACUACGUGCCAGCAGCCGCGGUAAUACGUAGGGUGCAAGCGUUAUCCGGAAUUAUUGGGCGUAAAGAGCUCGUAGGCGGUCUGUCGCGUCUGCUGUGAAAACUGGAGGCUCAACCUCCAGCCUGCAGUGGGUACGGUCAGACUAGAGUGCGGUAGGGGAGAUUGGAAUUCCUGGUGUAGCGGUGGAAUGCGCAGAUAUCAGGAGGAACACCGAUGGCGAAGGCAGAUCUCUGGGCCGUAACUGACGCUGAGGAGCGAAAGCGUGGGGAGCGAACAGGAUUAGAAACCCCAGUAGUCC
This 430-nucleotide ribosomal RNA is filed under the name uncultured bacterium. Its description in RNAcentral is "partial 16S ribosomal RNA". It matches the Rfam family "Bacterial small subunit ribosomal RNA", at positions 354 to 796 of the family's 1533-position model. The record is from RNAcentral.